This 253-nucleotide ribosomal RNA is filed under the name uncultured bacterium. Its description in RNAcentral is "partial 16S ribosomal RNA". It matches the Rfam family "Bacterial small subunit ribosomal RNA", at positions 524 to 776 of the family's 1533-position model. The record is from RNAcentral.
UACGGGGGGAGCAAGCGUUGUUCGGAUUUACUGGGCGUAAAGGGCGCGUAGGCGGCCUUCUAAGUCAGACGUGAAAUCCCCCGGCUUAACCUGGGAACUGCGUCUGAUACUGGGAGGCUUGAGUAUGGGAGAGGGAUGUAGAAUUCCAGGUGUAGCGGUGAAAUGCGUAGAUAUCUGGAGGAAUACCGGUGGCGAAGGCGGCAUCCUGGACCAUUACUGACGCUGAGGUGCGAAAGCUAGGGGAGCAAACGGG